This 1343-nucleotide ribosomal RNA is filed under the name uncultured bacterium. Its description in RNAcentral is "16S ribosomal RNA". It matches the Rfam family "Bacterial small subunit ribosomal RNA", at positions 28 to 1378 of the family's 1533-position model. The record is from RNAcentral.
GACGAACGCUGGCGGCGUGCUUAACACAUGCAAGUCGAACGGAAAGGCCCUGCUUUUGUGGGGUGCUCGAGUGGCGAACGGGUGAGUAACACGUGAGUAACCUGCCCUUGACUUUGGGAUAACUUCAGGAAACUGGGACUAAUACCGGAUAGGAGCUCCUGCUGCAUGGUGGGGGUUGGAAAGUUUCGGCGGUUGGGGAUGGACUCGCGGCUUAUCAGCUUGUUGGUGGGGUAGUGGCUUACCAAGGCUUUGACGGGUAGCCGGCCUGAGAGGGUGACCGGCCACAUUGGGACUGAGAUACGGCCCAGACUCCUACGGGAGGCAGCAGUGGGGAAUAUUGCACAAUGGGCGGAAGUCUGAUGCAGCAACGCCGCGUGCGGGAUGACGGCCUUCGGGUUGUAAACCGCUUUCGCCUGUGACGAAGCGUGAGUGACGGUAAUGGGUAAAGAAGCACCGGCUAACUACGUGCCAGCAGCCGCGGUGAUACGUAGGGUGCGAGCGUUGUCCGGAUUUAUUGGGCGUAAAGGGCUCGUAGGUGGUUGAUCGCGUCGGAAGUGUAAUCUUGGGGCUUAACCCUGAGCGUGCUUUCGAUACGGGUUGACUUGAGGAAGGUAGGGGAGAAUGGAAUUCCUGGUGGAGCGGUGGAAUGCGCAGAUAUCAGGAGGAACACCAGUGGCGAAGGCGGUUCUCUGGGCCUUUCCUGACGCUGAGGAGCGAAAGCGUGGGGAGCGAACAGGCUUAGAUACCCUGGUAGUCCACGCUGUAAACGGUGGGUACUAGGUGUGGGGUCCAUUCCACGGGUUCCGUGCCGUAGCUAACGCUUUAAGUACCCCGCCUGGGGAGUACGGCCGCAAGGCUAAAACUCAAAGGAAUUGACGGGGCCCCGCACAAGCGGCGGAGCAUGCGGAUUAAUUCGAUGCAACGCGUAGAACCUUACCUGGGUUUGACAUGGAUCGGGAGCGCUCAGAGAUGGGUGUGCCUCUUUUGGGGUCGGUUCACAGGUGGUGCAUGGCUGUCGUCAACUCGUGUCGUGAGAUGUUGGGUUGAGUCCCGCAACGAGCGCAACCCUUGUUCACUGUUGCCAGCACGUUAUGGUGGGGACUCAGUGGAGACCGCCGGGGUCAACUCGGAGGAAGGUGGGGAUGACGUCAAGUCAUCAUGCCCCUUAUGUCCAGGGCUUCACGCAUGCUACAAUGGCUGGUACAGAGAGUGGCGAGCCUGUGAGGGUGAGCGAAUCUCGGAAAGCCGGUCUCAGUUCGGAUUGGGGUCUGCAACUCGACCUCAUGAAGUCGGAGUCGCUAGUAAUCGCAGAUCAGCAACGCUGCGGUGAAUACGUUCCCGGG